RNAcentral lists this long non-coding RNA (887 nucleotides) under Hordeum vulgare. Its description in RNAcentral is "long non-coding RNA (HVUL_LNC014101)". Lineage: Eukaryota; Viridiplantae; Streptophyta; Magnoliopsida; Poales; Poaceae. The record is from RNAcentral.
AAAAACAUUGGUAGUAUCAAGGUCUAACACAGAAUGAACAUAGGCAAGAAAAGGACAUGCAUUGACCAUUCCAUAGCUAAAUAUAACAGAGCUCCUCUUUGCGACUUCUAUUAAGAGAAACCACAAGUCCUACGGUCGAUUAAACAAGAAAAUGUUAAACAAUGCAUGAUCUGCCAGGGGGGAAGUGCUGGCAAAAAACCAAACCCAGACCAGAACUAAUAAGGAGCAAGUUCUCUACAUCCGACAAGACCAGGUCUUCGGCAGGGGGGAACAAACCAGCAAAAUAAGGCAGACUCCAAGCCUUUUUUUGGUUCUGCUAGAUAUCAUUACAGGCCAAAAAAGAAGGAAAACUUGCAUGAAGCAGGAGGAACUCCUUGAGCAACCCUUUUUGGUUGGAGAAGGGCCUGGAGUCCAAAGGCACAGCUACAAAAGAACAUAGCACCCUUCUUCGAAGGAGACACCAUCACGGAGACUCGGAUACAGCGCUGCUUCUGCCUGCCAAACACCAGCAUUCCAUCAAUCACCAAGGAACAUCGCAUGAUAUUUUUAAAAUGCAUCACCAAUCACCAAGGAACAUGUACCUGUUUCAACUGGCUCCUGUAAAUAGAUUUUUUUUUCCUUAUGCCUAUUUUUUUUACUUGUUAUAACGGUGUGCUUGCUAGAAAAAUAGAUGUGACUAGCUUGUUGUUUCUUUUUUAAGUGAUAUGUGUUACAUUGGAUGCAUUUUAAUACUGACCAUAUCUUUUGCAUGUUCAUAUUAUUGCAAGAACUGUUACAAUUAUUAGUUGAAUCUCCAGGGCGAGGAUCUUUUGCAGUCCUCAUUGAUUGUAAACUCAAGUGCUACAUGUUGAGUAAAAGAAUAGAGGAUAUACUCGGAAGAUCAAUUN